Molecule: transfer RNA, 58 nt
Filed under: Parhyale hawaiensis
Lineage: Eukaryota; Metazoa; Arthropoda; Malacostraca; Amphipoda; Hyalidae
Description: tRNA-Cys
Source: RNAcentral
AAUUAGAUAGUGUAUAUAAAAUAUUAAAUUGCAAGUUUAAAGAAGAAUUAACUCUAAU